Molecule: ribosomal RNA, 137 nt
Filed under: uncultured eukaryote
Lineage: Eukaryota
Description: partial 18S ribosomal RNA
Rfam family: Eukaryotic small subunit ribosomal RNA
Source: RNAcentral
UGGUGGAGUGAUUUGUCUGCUUAAUUGCGAUAACGAACGAGACCUUGACCUGCUAAAUAGCCAGGUUGACUUUUGUCGGCCGCCGGCUUCUUAGAGGGACUUUUGGCUCAAGCCAAUGGAAGUUUGAGGCAAUAACA